GACGAACGCUGGCGGCGUGCCUAAUACAUGCAAGUCGAGCGAAGUUUUUCUGGUGCUUGCACCGGAAAAACUUAGCGGCGAACGGGUGAGUAACACGUAAAGAACCUGCCUUAUAGACUGGGACAACUAUUGGAAACGAUAGCUAAUACCGGAUAACAGCAUUAACUGCAUGGUUGAUGUUUGAAAGUUGGUUUUGCUAACACUAUGAGAUGGCUUUGCGGUUCAUUAGCUAGUUGGUGGGGUAAAGGCCUACCAAGGCGACGAUGCAUAGCCGACCUGAGGAGGUGAUCCGCCAACCUGGGACUGAGACACGGCCCCGAAUCCCACGGGAGGCAAGCGUAGGGAAUCUUCCGCCAUGGGCCAAAGCCUGACGGAGCCACGCCGCGUGAGUGGAAAAGGAUUUCGGUUUCUUAAGCCCUGUUUUUAGGGAAGAAUGAUUGGGUAGUAACUAUACACAGUAGAGACGGUACCUAACCAGAAAGCCACGGCUAACUACGUG
This 499-nucleotide ribosomal RNA is filed under the name uncultured bacterium. RNAcentral's name for it is "partial 16S ribosomal RNA". It matches the Rfam family "Bacterial small subunit ribosomal RNA", at positions 28 to 507 of the family's 1533-position model. The record is from RNAcentral.